This 1124-nucleotide ribosomal RNA is filed under the name Burkholderia sp. SD3171. Its description in RNAcentral is "bacterial SSU rRNA". It matches the Rfam family "Bacterial small subunit ribosomal RNA", at positions 96 to 1220 of the family's 1533-position model. The record is from RNAcentral. Lineage: Bacteria; Pseudomonadati; Pseudomonadota; Betaproteobacteria; Burkholderiales; Burkholderiaceae.
UGGCGAACGGGUGAGUAAUACAUCGGAACGUGUCCUGUAGUGGGGGAUAGCCCGGCGAAAGCCGGAUUAAUACCGCAUACGACCUAAGGGAGAAAGCGGGGGGAUCUUCGGACCUCGCGCUAUAGGGGCGGCCGAUGGCAGAUUAGCUAGUUGGUGGGGUAAAGGCCUACCAAGGCGACGAUCUGUAGCUGGUCUGAGAGGACGACCAGCCACACUGGGACUGAGACACGGCCCAGACUCCUACGGGAGGCAGCAGUGGGGAAUUUUGGACAAUGGGGGCAACCCUGAUCCAGCAAUGCCGCGUGUGUGAAGAAGGCCUUCGGGUUGUAAAGCACUUUUGUCCGGAAAGAAAACCAUCGCCCUAAUAUGGUGGUGGGAUGACGGUACCGGAAGAAUAAGCACCGGCUAACUACGUGCCAGCAGCCGCGGUAAUACGUAGGGUGCGAGCGUUAAUCGGAAUUACUGGGCGUAAAGCGUGCGCAGGCGGUCUGUUAAGACCGAUGUGAAAUCCCCGGGCUUAACCUGGGAACUGCAUUGGUGACUGGCAGGCUUUGAGUGUGGCAGAGGGAGGUAGAAUUCCACGUGUAGCAGUGAAAUGCGUAGAGAUGUGGAGGAAUACCGAUGGCGAAGGCAGCCUCCUGGGCCAACACUGACGCUCAUGCACGAAAGCGUGGGAAGCAAACAGGAUUAGAUACCCUGGUAGUCCACGCCCUAAACGAUGUCAACUAGUUGUUGGGGAUUCGUUUCCUUAGUAACGUAGCUAACGCGUGAAGUUGACCGCCUGGGGAGUACGGUCGCAAGAUUAAAACUCAAAGGAAUUGACGGGGACCCGCACAAGCGGUGGAUGAUGUGGAUUAAUUCGAUGCAACGCGAAAAACCUUACCUACCCUUGACAUGGUCGGAAUCCUGCUGAGAGGCGGGAGUGCUCGAAAGAGAACCGGCGCACAGGUGCUGCAUGGCUGUCGUCAGCUCGUGUCGUGAGAUGUUGGGUUAAGUCCCGCAACGAGCGCAACCCUUGUCCUUAGUUGCUACGCAAGAGCACUCUAAGGAGACUGCCGGUGACAAACCGGAGGAAGGUGGGGAUGACGUCAAGUCCUCAUGGCCCUUAUGGGUAGGGCUUCACA